RNAcentral lists this ribosomal RNA (440 nucleotides) under uncultured bacterium. RNAcentral describes it as "partial 16S ribosomal RNA". It matches the Rfam family "Bacterial small subunit ribosomal RNA", at positions 338 to 795 of the family's 1533-position model. The record is from RNAcentral.
CCUACGGGGGGCAGCAGUGGGGGAUAUUGCACAAUGGGGGGAACCCUGAUGCAGCGACGCCGCGUGGGUGAAGAAGCGCCCCGGCGCGUAAAGCCCUGUCAGCCGGGAAGAAAAUGACGGUACCUGAAGAAGAAGCCCCGGCUAACUACGGGCCAGCAGCCGCGGGAAUACGGAGGGGGCAAGCGUUAUCCGGAUUUUCCGGGUGUAAAGGGGGCGCAGACGGCGAUGCAAGCCAGGGGGGAAAGCCCGGGGCCCAACCCCGGGACUGCUCUUGAAACUGCGUGGCUGGAGAUCAGGAGGGGCAGGCGGAAUGCCUGGUGUAGCGGUGAAAUGCGUAGAUAUCAGGAGGAACACCGGUGGCGAAGGCGGCCUGCUGGACGGCAACUGACGUUGAGGCCCGAAAGCGUGGGGAGCAAACAGGAUUAGAUACCCGGGUAGUC